RNAcentral lists this ribosomal RNA (755 nucleotides) under uncultured Neisseriaceae bacterium. RNAcentral's name for it is "bacterial SSU rRNA". It matches the Rfam family "Bacterial small subunit ribosomal RNA", at positions 28 to 776 of the family's 1533-position model. Lineage: Bacteria; Pseudomonadati; Pseudomonadota; Betaproteobacteria; Neisseriales; Neisseriaceae. The record is from RNAcentral.
AUUGAACGCUGGCGGCAUGCUUUACACAUGCAAGUCGGACGGCAGCGGGGGUGCUUGCACCUGCCGGCGAGUGGCGAACGGGUGAGUAACAUAUUGGAAUGUACCGAGUAGUGGGGGAUAACCAAUCGAAAGAUUGGCUAAUACCGCAUACGUCCUGAGGGGGAAAGCAGGGGAUCUUCGGACCUUGCGCUAUUUGAGCAGCCAAUAUCUGAUUAGCUAGUUGGUGGGGUAAAGGCCCACCAAGGCGACGAUCAGUAGCGGGUCUGAGAGGAUGAUCCGCCACACUGGGACUGAGACACGGCCCAGACUCCUACGGGAGGCAGCAGUGGGGAAUUUUGGACAAUGGGGGCAACCCUGAUCCAGCCAUGCCGCGUGUCUGAAGAAGGCCUUCGGGUUGUAAAGGACUUUUGUUAGGGAAGAAAAGGGAAGUGUUAAUACCACUUUUUGCUGACGGUACCUAAAGAAUAAGCACCGGCUAACUACGUGCCAGCAGCCGCGGUAAUACGUAGGGUGCGAGCGUUAAUCGGAAUUACUGGGCGUAAAGCGAGCGCAGACGGUUACUUAAGCAGGAUGUGAAAUCCCCGGGCUCAACCUGGGAACUGCGUUCUGAACUGGGUAGCUAGAGUAUGUCAGAGGGGGGUAGAAUUCCACGUGUAGCAGUGAAAUGCGUAGAGAUGUGGAGGAAUACCGAUGGCGAGGGCAGCCCCCUGGGAUAAUACUGACGUUCAUGCUCGAAAGCGUGGGUAGCAAACAGG